This 386-nucleotide ribosomal RNA is filed under the name Streptococcus pneumoniae. Its description in RNAcentral is "partial 23S ribosomal RNA". It matches the Rfam family "Eukaryotic large subunit ribosomal RNA", at positions 1215 to 1577 of the family's 3401-position model. The record is from RNAcentral. Lineage: Bacteria; Bacillati; Bacillota; Bacilli; Lactobacillales; Streptococcaceae.
UGAAGGGUGUUGGUUGCUUAAGACAGCAGGACGGUGGCCAUGGAAGUCGGAAUCCGCUAAGGAGUGUGUAACAACUCACCUGCCGAAGCAACUAGCCCCGAAAAUGGAUGGCGCUCUAGCGUCGCGCCUAUCCCCGGCCGUCGCCGGCAGAGAAGCACGAAAUGUGGGGGUGCUAAGCCGCGACGAGUAGGAGGGCCGCAGCGGUGGGCGUUGAAGGUGUCGGGCGCGAGCCCGCCUGGAGCCGCCGCUGGUGCAGAUCUUGGUGGUAGUAGCAAAUACUCAAGUGAGAACCUUGAGGACUGAAGUGGAGAAGGGUUCCAUGUGAACAGCAGUUGAACAUGGGUCAGUCGGUCCUUAGGGAAAGGAGAAAUCCUUUCAGAAGCGGG